Molecule: non-coding RNA, 100 nt
Organism: Taphrina deformans PYCC 5710
Lineage: Eukaryota; Fungi; Ascomycota; Taphrinomycetes; Taphrinales; Taphrinaceae
Source: Rfam
UCUUUGAUGGUCCAACGGUCAAGAUUCCCGCUUGUCAUUCGAUGAGCACGAUGUUCAGAGCAUCACGCGGGCGACCGGGGUUCGACUCCCCGUCAGAGAG